UGUUUCGGCUAGGGGGCCAUCCCGGCUUACCAACCCGAUGCAAACUGCGAAUACCGGAGAAUGUUAUCACGGGAGACACACGGCGGGUGCUAACGUCCGUCGUGAAGAGGGAAACAACCCAGACCGCCAGCUAAGGUCCCAAAGUCAUGGUUAAGUGGGAAACGAUGUGGGAAGGCCCAGACAGCCAGGAUGUUGGCUUAGAAGCAGCCAUCAUUUAAAGAAAGCGUAAUAGCUCACUGGUCGAGUCGGCCUGCGCGGAAGAUGUAACGGGGCUAAACCAUGCACCGAAGCUGCGGC
RNAcentral lists this ribosomal RNA (297 nucleotides) under Salmonella enterica subsp. enterica serovar Poona. RNAcentral describes it as "partial 23S ribosomal RNA". It matches the Rfam family "Bacterial large subunit ribosomal RNA", at positions 911 to 1206 of the family's 2925-position model. The record is from RNAcentral. Lineage: Bacteria; Pseudomonadati; Pseudomonadota; Gammaproteobacteria; Enterobacterales; Enterobacteriaceae.